This 431-nucleotide ribosomal RNA is filed under the name uncultured bacterium. Its description in RNAcentral is "bacterial SSU rRNA". It matches the Rfam family "Bacterial small subunit ribosomal RNA", at positions 27 to 507 of the family's 1533-position model. The record is from RNAcentral.
GAACGAACGCUGGCGGCAGGCUUAACACAUGCAAGUCGAACGCAUCGCAAGAUGAGUGGCAGACGGGUGAGUACACGUGGGAAUCUACCUAGUUCUACGGGAUAGCCCGGGGAAACCCGGAUUAAUACCGUAUACGCCCUAUGGGGGAAAGAUUUAUCGGAAUUAGAUGAGCCCGCGGUUGAUUAGCUAGUUGGUGAGGUAAUGGCUCACCAAGGCGACGAUCAAUAGCUGGUCUGAGAGGAUGAUCAGCCACACUGGAACUGAGACACGGUCCAGACUCCUACGGGAGGCAGCAGUGGGGAAUAUUGGACAAUGGGCGCAAGCCUGAUCCAGCCAUGCCGCGUGAGUGACGAAGGCCUUAGGGUUGUAAAGCUCUUUUAACAGGGAAGAUAAUGACGGUACCUGUAGAAUAAGCUCCGGCUAACUUCGUG